RNAcentral lists this ribosomal RNA (674 nucleotides) under uncultured bacterium. RNAcentral's name for it is "bacterial SSU rRNA". It matches the Rfam family "Bacterial small subunit ribosomal RNA", at positions 62 to 747 of the family's 1533-position model. The record is from RNAcentral.
UUAAGACAGAUUACUUCGGUUUGAAGUCUUUUAUGACUGAGUGGCGGACGGGUGAGUAACGCGUGGGUAACCUGCCUCAUACAGGGGGAUAGCAGCUGGAAACGGCUGGUAAUACCGCAUAAGCGCACAGUACCACAUGGUACAGUGUGAAAAACUCCGGUGGUAUGAGAUGGACCCGCGUCUGAUUAGCUUGUUGGCGGGGUAACGGCCCACCAAGGCGACGAUCAGUAGCCGACCUGAGAGGGUGACCGGCCACAUUGGGACUGAGACACGGCCCAGACUCCUACGGGAGGCAGCAGUGGGGAAUAUUGCACAAUGGAGGAAACUCUGAUGUAGCGACGCCGCGUGAGUGAAGAAGUAGUUCGCUAUGUAAAGCUCUAUCAGCAGGGAAGAUAGUGACGGUACCUGACUAAGAAGCUCCGGCUAAAUACGUGCCAGCAGCCGCGGUAAUACGUAUGGAGCAAGCGUUAUCCGGAUUUACUGGGUGUAAAGGGAGUGUAGGUGGCCAGGCAAGUCAGAAGUGAAAGCCCGGGGCUCAACCCCGGGACUGCUUUUGAAACUGCAGGGCUGGAGUGCAGGAGGGGCAAGUGGAAUUCCUAGUGUAGCGGUGAAAUGCGUAGAUAUUAGGAGGAACACCAGUGGCGAAGGCGGCUUGCUGGACUGUAACUGACACU